RNAcentral lists this ribosomal RNA (465 nucleotides) under uncultured bacterium. RNAcentral describes it as "partial 16S ribosomal RNA". It matches the Rfam family "Bacterial small subunit ribosomal RNA", at positions 338 to 795 of the family's 1533-position model. The record is from RNAcentral.
CCUACGGGAGGCAGCAGUGGGGAAUAUUGCGCAAUGGGCGAAAGCCUGACGCAGCGACGCCGCGUGAGGGAUGAAGGUCUUCGGAUCGUAAACCUCUGUUAGCAGGGAAGAACGGUCACUGUGCUAAUCAGCAGUGAAUUGACGGUACCUGCAAAGGAAGCACCGGCUAACUCCGUGCCAGCAGCCGCGGUAAUACGUAGGGGGCAAGCGUUAUCCGGAUUUACUGGGUGUAAAGGGAGCGUAGACGGCAAGGCAAGCCAGAAGGGAAAGGGCAGGGCUCAACCCUGUACAUGCUUUUGGAACUGUGGUGCUAGAGUGCAGGAGAGGUAAGUGGAAUUCGUAGUGUAGCGGUGAAAUGCGUAGAUAUUAGGAGGAACUCCAGUGGCGAAGGCGGCUUACUGGACUGUAACUGACGUUGAGGCUCGAAAGCGUGGGGAGCAAACAGGAUUAGAUACCCGAGUAGUC